This 495-nucleotide ribosomal RNA is filed under the name uncultured bacterium. RNAcentral describes it as "bacterial SSU rRNA". It matches the Rfam family "Bacterial small subunit ribosomal RNA", at positions 29 to 518 of the family's 1533-position model. The record is from RNAcentral.
AUGAACGCUAGCUACAGGCUUAACACAUGCAAGUCGAGGGGCAGCAUGGGUAGCAAUACUUCAGAUGGCGACCGGCGCACGGGUGAGUAACACGUAUCCAACCUGCCGCUUACUCGGGGAUAGCCUUUCGAAAGAAAGAUUAAUACCCGAUGGUAUAAAGAGUUCGCAUGUUCUCUUUAUUAAAGAAUUUCGGUAAGCGAUGGGGAUGCGUUCCAUUAGAUAGUUGGCGGGGUAACGGCCCACCAAGUCUACGAUGGAUAGGGGUUCUGAGAGGAAGGUCCCCCACAUUGGAACUGAGACACGGUCCAAACUCCUACGGGAGGCAGCAGUGAGGAAUAUUGGUCAAUGGACGAGAGUCUGAACCAGCCAAGUAGCGUGAAGGAUGACUGCCCUAUGGGUUGUAAACUUCUUUUAUAAGGGAAUAAAGUGAGGGACGUGUCCCUUUUUGUAUGUACCUUAUGAAUAAGGAUCGGCUAACUCCGUGCCAGCAGCAGC